Molecule: small RNA, 281 nt
Filed under: Arabidopsis thaliana (thale cress)
Lineage: Eukaryota; Viridiplantae; Streptophyta; Magnoliopsida; Brassicales; Brassicaceae
Source: RNAcentral
AUGUUAAGUAGAUAUUUUGCAUGUACCAAAGCUCUUAUAAACAAGAUAGGGUAUUCCUACAGAACUGGUGGGACCCACGUCAAAUGGAUCAUAAAGUCUUCAAAAAAUAAUAGAUACGAUUGCAUUGCAUGUAGUCACGGAUGCGAUCAUACCAGCAUUAAUGCACUGGAUCCCAUCAGAACUCUGCAGUUAAGCGUGCUUGGGCGAGAGUAGUACUAGGAUGGGAGAUCUCUCGGAAAGUUCUCGUGUUGCAUCCCUCUUUUUGUUUUUCGGUUUUCUCU